UCCUACGGGGCGCAGCAGUGGGGAAUAUUGCACAAUGGGGGAAACCCUGAUGCAGCGACGCCGCGUGAGUGAAGAAGUAUUUCGGUAUGUAAAGCUCUAUCAGCAGGGAAGAUAAUGACGGUACCUGACUAAGAAGCUCCGGCUAAAUACGUGCCAGCAGCCGCGGUAAUACGUAUGGAGCAAGCGUUAUCCGGAUUUACUGGGUGUAAAGGGGGCGCAGACGGCGAUGCAAGCCAGGAGUGAAAGCCCGGGGCCCAACCCCAGGACUGCUCUUGGAACUGCGUGGCUGGAGUGCAGGAGGGGCG
Molecule: ribosomal RNA, 305 nt
Filed under: uncultured bacterium
Lineage: Bacteria
Description: bacterial SSU rRNA
Rfam family: Bacterial small subunit ribosomal RNA
Source: RNAcentral